Molecule: ribosomal RNA, 412 nt
Filed under: Salmonella enterica subsp. enterica serovar Enteritidis
Lineage: Bacteria; Pseudomonadati; Pseudomonadota; Gammaproteobacteria; Enterobacterales; Enterobacteriaceae
Description: partial 23S ribosomal RNA
Rfam family: Bacterial large subunit ribosomal RNA
Source: RNAcentral
UCACACUAUCAUUAACUGAAUCCAUAGGUUAAUGAGGCGAACCGGGGGAACUGAAACAUCUAAGUACCCCGAGGAAAAGAAAUCAACCGAGAUUCCCCCAGUAGCGGCGAGCGAACGGGGAGGAGCCCAGAGCCUGAAUCAGCAUGUGUGUUAGUGGAAGCGUCUGGAAAGGCGCGCGAUACAGGGUGACAGCCCCGUACACAAAAGCGCAUGUGCUGUGAGCUCGAUGAGUAGGGCGGGACACGUGGUAUCCUGUCUGAAUAUGGGGGGACCAUCCUCCAAGGCUAAAUACUCCUGACUGACCGAUAGUGAACCAGUACCGUGAGGGAAAGGCGAAAAGAACCCCGGCGAGGGGAGUGAAAAAGAACCUGAAACCGUGUACGUACAAGCAGUGGGAGCACAGGUUUACCUG